AGCGAACGCUGGCGGCAUGCCUAACACAUGCAAGUCGCACGGGUCGGCUUCGGCCGGUCAGUGGCGGCCGGGUGAGGACCGCGUAGGGAUCCGUCCUUUGGUGGGGGAUAACCGCGGGAAACUGCGGCUAAGCCCGCAUGGGGCGCCGGUGUGAGAGCCGGCGUCAUAGGCGCGCAUCGCGAGGUGUGUGUGGCCGGGGGGUGGGCCUGUGUCCGAUUCGCGGGGUGGGGGGGUAGUAGCCCGGCAAGGCGUGGAUGGGUGGCUGGGCUGAGAGGGGGAUCAGUCACGCUGGGACUGAGACACGGCCCAGACUGCGACGGGAGGGAGCAGUAGAGAAUAUUGGGGAAUGAACGCAAGUCUGGUCCAGCAAUGCGGCGUAGGUGGAGAAGGUCGUCGGAUUGUGAAGCCCUUUCGGCGGAGACGAUGGUGACGGUACCCGCAGAAGAAGCCCCGGCUAACUUCGUG
RNAcentral lists this ribosomal RNA (465 nucleotides) under uncultured bacterium. RNAcentral's name for it is "partial 16S ribosomal RNA". It matches the Rfam family "Bacterial small subunit ribosomal RNA", at positions 28 to 507 of the family's 1533-position model. The record is from RNAcentral.